RNAcentral lists this unclassified non-coding RNA (308 nucleotides) under uncultured fungus. RNAcentral describes it as "partial contains small subunit ribosomal RNA, internal transcribed spacer 1, and 5.8S ribosomal RNA". The stretch from base 1 to 73 matches the Rfam family "Eukaryotic small subunit ribosomal RNA", at positions 1759 to 1831 of the family's 1831-position model. The record is from RNAcentral. Lineage: Eukaryota; Fungi.
GCAAACUUGGUCAUUUAGAGGAAGUAAAAGUCGUAACAAGGUUUCCGUAGGUGAACCUGCGGAAGGAUCAUUACAAAGAAUGUGUGGAAUUUUUAAUAUUCUCGAAAACCCCAACCCGAGCACCGGUACCUGUUGCUUCCAUGGGCAGCGAGCAGCUGGCUUGCGCCUGCUAUCAUGGCAGACCCAUGGGAGGUCACUGAUAAAAUGCACUGCUUUUGUGGCAAUCCGUCUGAGUAUGUAUGUUUGAUCAAAUGUUCAAAACUUUCAACAACGGAUCUCUUGGUUCUCGCAUCGAUGAAGAACGCAGC